This 433-nucleotide ribosomal RNA is filed under the name uncultured bacterium. RNAcentral describes it as "partial 16S ribosomal RNA". It matches the Rfam family "Bacterial small subunit ribosomal RNA", at positions 29 to 507 of the family's 1533-position model. The record is from RNAcentral.
AGCGAACGCUGGCGGCAGGCUUAACACAUGCAAGUCGAGCGGGCACUUCGGUGUCAGCGGCAGACGGGGGAGUAACACGUGGGAACGUACCCUUUGGUUCGGAAUAACGCUGGGAAACUAGCGCUAAUACCGGAUACGCCCUUUUGGGGAAAGGCUUGCUGCCGAAGGAUCGGCCCGCGUCUGAUUAGCUAGUUGGUGGGGUAAUGGCCUACCAAGGCGACGAUCAGUAGCUGGUCGGAGAGGAUGAUCAGCCACACUGGGACUGAGACACGGCCCAGACUCCUACGGGAGGCAGCAGUGGGGAAUAUUAGACAAUGGGCGCAAGCCUGAUACAGCCAUGCCGCGUGAGUGAUGAAGGCCUUAGGGUUGUAAAGCUCUUUUGUCCGGGACGAUAAUGACGGUACCGGAAGAAUAAGCCCCGGCUAACUUCGUG